UACGGGGGGGGCAAGCGUUGUUCGGAAUUACUGGGCGUAAAGCGCGCGUAGGCGGCUUUGCAAGUCGGGUGUGAAAUCCCCAGGCUUAACCUGGGAACUGCAUUCGAGACUGCAUUGCUAGAGUAUGGGAGAGGGAAGUGGAAUUUCCGGUGUAGCGGUGAAAUGCGUAGAUAUCGGAAGGAACGCCGGUGGCGAAAGCGGUCGACUGGACCCCUUCUGACGCUGAGGCGCGAAAGCCAGGGGAGCAAACGGG
RNAcentral lists this ribosomal RNA (253 nucleotides) under uncultured bacterium. Its description in RNAcentral is "partial 16S ribosomal RNA". It matches the Rfam family "Bacterial small subunit ribosomal RNA", at positions 524 to 776 of the family's 1533-position model. The record is from RNAcentral.